This 73-nucleotide transfer RNA is filed under the name Microcaldota archaeon. RNAcentral describes it as "tRNA-Pro". It matches the Rfam family "tRNA". From Rfam's summary of the family: Transfer RNA (tRNA) molecules are approximately 80 nucleotides in length. Lineage: Archaea; Nanobdellati; Microcaldota. The record is from RNAcentral.
GGGCUCGUGGGCUAACCUGGUAUGCUCCCGGCUUCGGGAGCCGGUGAUCUGAGUUCAAAUCUCAGCGAGCCCA